CACACACACACACACACACGGAGGACAUGGACACACACCUAAGUACACUUGAAUAUGUGUACACACAAACAUAGACGCAUAGAGGGGGGUGGAGAAGGUAGAUCACCAAGGAGCAGUGGGUCAAUAGGUAGACAACCCACAGGUCGUUCAACUCAUAUUUACAAGUCUACCAGGCACACAAAUUGCAAACUAAGAUUGGCCCACACAUUAGAAUUCCAUGAGACACAUGUGGCUCGACUGAGGGUUUUGCUGGAAAGAUUCUGAGGCUGUAUCUGGGCAACGUGGGCCAAGAGCCAUGAGCAUGUCACAGUGCACCACACAAACAUCUCCAGGGACUCAAACCACAAAUUUGUCAAUCUUGUGUGUAGCUUUUAAAGGACCAUUCCCUAAGUGUGUUUUAACAGAUUUUUGUGCUCUGGUAUAAAAAUAUACAAACAACACAACCACAGAAAGGAGCUAUUGCCAUGCCUUUACUCUUUCCCAUAUUUCUAAAGACAUCUGGCUGUGCAAUGUACAAAUCUUGUGAUUUUGAAUCAUCGAUUCUCCAAGGCGAGACACUUGCAUCUAUUUAUACAUGCUUGAUAUUGGUUGUGUAACCAGGAUUUCUGGGUCUGGGCCAAACCUCAACUCAGUGAGUUGGAGUUGAUGUGGAUGAAUGAUAGAAAGUUGGGUGUGAGGCCCUUCUAGUCCUGUUCUGUCCCAGAGAACAGCUGCAUCACCAUGAGUGUUACACCAGCCCUCAACACCCUGAUGUCUCCCCAAAAGCAAGGAUCAUGAGUCUGUCAAUGACACUGAUCUCAUACUGGUACAAGACAGUAUGAAUCUGGGUUUGGAGCAGCAGUGGACCCAGGAAAAGCCAGAGUUGUCUUCAGGAAAUCAUCCUUGCCUGUUCUGUGAAUAGGGUCCUGGCAAAUAGUAAUGCUUGCAUGAGGAGGACAUUGCCCAGGAAACCCAGCUCCAAAUAUUAAGGACAGACAUCUGGAAGUCUGCAGGGUCCAACCACUCUGCAGAUGCCAAACAAGGAAACAUGACACUCUGAAAAGUCAGCAUGUCUCCUGGGCCUCUGAGAGACAGCCUAGGAACCAGGAUCUGACCUGCACCUAUAGCACCACCUGCAAGAGUCCAGGACAGCCAGCCAAGGUCAUCUGACCUCCCAGGGAUCUUGUGAGGAUAUCAGAAGGGCCCUUAGAAGCAUUCAGUAAAACUUUGCUCUUGAGAGAAAAGCCAUUUCACUAGGAUCCCAGAGUCAACUGUGUCUGAAAGGUGGCAAGAAGCCCACUUCCCAGGUGCCCUAGAGAGAAAAUCUGCAUAGGGUGACAAAAGGCAAACCCCAGAUGAGAACCCUUAGUUCCUCCAAGAAGAGUUGGGCAAGACUUCUAGGACAUGAAACUGUCCCUUCCUAGGCCAGGGAGGAGACAAUAAAGCUGUGGGUAUAUCUUGAGAUCUAUCUAAUCCAGGGUAAUGAAGUCAGUGUGGCAGUAGGAAGUGACGUGAAUACAGCUCAGCUGGUAGUGUUCCCAGCACACACAAAGCCCUGGGUUGGAUUUCCCAGCAGUGCUAUAAACUGGUUGUGGUGGAGCAUGCAUGGAAGCUCAGCACACACUCUAGGUAAUAAGGUCAGAUUCAAGAUCACCCUCAGCUACACAGUGAGUUCAAGGACAGUUUAAGGUACCUGAGACCUGCUUCAAAAAAGAAAGUCAUGGUUUGGUAGGAUGUGGUGGGAAGAGAAGAGACACUUCCUGAGAUCCAAAGGAUGAUGUUGAAACCAGAAGAUUAAUCUGGCACGAGGUGAGAGCUUUGUGUGUCCAGCCAUGAUGAACUGUGCAGUCACAGGCCCAAGGCAACUGAGGUAACUAUAAACUAAAACCACAAGCCAAAAUAAACCAAUCUUCCCUCCUUGUAAGCUAUUGUUCUCAGUUAUUUUGUUACGGUGAUAAGAAGCUGACAAAUGCAAUCAGAUACAUCAAAGGCUGCAUUGUUCACUGAGGUCUGUGCCACCAAACUGUAAAGAAAACAUUACUUUUUUUUGAAAGUGUAGAAAUGGACAAUUAGUUUUUAAAAAAGGAGUGAAUGGGCUGAGGAGAUGGCUCAUUGGAUAUAAGUGCUUGUCAUGCAAGCCUGACCACCAGAGUUCAUGUCCCCAGAAUCCAUGCAAAAGCCAGAUGCAGCAGUGUGAGCAAGUGUGAUCCCAGGAAAUGGAACCCUGAGAAGGGAGAAUCCAUAGGAGCUAGCUAGCCUGUGACACACAGCAGUGAACACCAGAGCUGGUUUCAAAUGAGGUGGGAGGGAAAAGACUGACACUUGAAGGUGUCCACUAACCUCCACAUGUGAGCUGUGGUAUACUCACACCUGUACCGGCACACAAUAACAUGAGUGCGUGUGUGUGUGCAUGCACACACACACACACACUCAUACAGUCACAUUCAUCUCUCUUUCAUACACACAUACACUCUUCUCUCUCACACACACAGAGUCACA
This 2478-nucleotide long non-coding RNA is filed under the name Cricetulus griseus (Chinese hamster). RNAcentral describes it as "lncRNA (ENSCGRG00015032387.1)". Lineage: Eukaryota; Metazoa; Chordata; Mammalia; Rodentia; Cricetidae. The record is from RNAcentral.